This 202-nucleotide unclassified non-coding RNA is filed under the name Hevea brasiliensis (rubber tree). The record is from RNAcentral. Lineage: Eukaryota; Viridiplantae; Streptophyta; Magnoliopsida; Malpighiales; Euphorbiaceae.
GUGUUAAGGAAAGUUAAUAUUACAUUCCUAUCUAGCAUAGGAUUUAUAUAUCUAAAUAGAAAUGAUUUGUAUUCCUAAUUAAUAGGGUAAUUAUAGUAGGAUUUAUAUUCUUAGAUAGGUAGGAGAUUAUCAUACAUAAAUAUGUAAACUUUUAUUAUAUAGAUUGAGUGAGAAUUAAAAAUGUAGCUCUUUGAUUUUUCUC